This 489-nucleotide ribosomal RNA is filed under the name Serratia sp. A88copa5. RNAcentral's name for it is "bacterial SSU rRNA". It matches the Rfam family "Bacterial small subunit ribosomal RNA", at positions 64 to 559 of the family's 1533-position model. Lineage: Bacteria; Pseudomonadati; Pseudomonadota; Gammaproteobacteria; Enterobacterales; Yersiniaceae. The record is from RNAcentral.
GAGCUUGCUCUCCUGGGUGACGAGCGGCGGACGGGUGAGUAAUGUCUGGGAAACUGCCUGAUGGAGGGGGAUAACUACUGGAAACGGUAGCUAAUACCGCAUAACGUCGCAAGACCAAAGAGGGGGACCUUCGGGCCUCUUGCCAUCAGAUGUGCCCAGAUGGGAUUAGCUAGUAGGUGGGGUAAUGGCUCACCUAGGCGACGAUCCCUAGCUGGUCUGAGAGGAUGACCAGCCACACUGGAACUGAGACACGGUCCAGACUCCUACGGGAGGCAGCAGUGGGGAAUAUUGCACAAUGGGCGCAAGCCUGAUGCAGCCAUGCCGCGUGUGUGAAGAAGGCCUUCGGGUUGUAAAGCACUUUCAGCGAGGAGGAAGGUGGUGAGCUUAAUACGCUCAUCAAUUGACGUUACUCGCAGAAGAAGCACCGGCUAACUCCGUGCCAGCAGCCGCGGUAAUACGGAGGGUGCAAGCGUAAUCGAAUUACUGGGC